AUUGAACGCUGGCGGCAGGCUUAACACAUGCAAGUCGAGCGGGGGAAGGUAGCUUGCUACCGGACCUAGCGGCGGACGGGUGAGUAAUGCUUAGGAAUCUGCCUAUUAGUGGGGGACAACAUCUCGAAAGGGAUGCUAAUACCGCAUACGUCCUACGGGAGAAAGCAGGGGAUCUUCGGACCUUGCGCUAAUAGACGAGCCUAGGUCGGAUUAGCUAGUUGGUGGGGUAAAGGCCUACCAAGGGGACGAUCUGUAGCGGGUCUGAGAGGAUGAUCCGCCACACUGGGACUGAGACACGGCCCAGACUCCUACGGGAGGCAGCAGUGGGGAAUAUUGGACAAUGGGGGGAACCCUGAUCCAGCCAUGCCGCGUGUGUGAAGAAGGCCUUAUGGUUGUAAAGCACUUUAAGCGAGGAGGAGGCUACUCUAGUUAAUACCUAGGGAUAGUGGACGUUACUCGCAGAAUAAGCACCGGCUAACUCUGUGCCAGCCGCCGCCGUAA
This 501-nucleotide ribosomal RNA is filed under the name uncultured bacterium. Its description in RNAcentral is "partial 16S ribosomal RNA". It matches the Rfam family "Bacterial small subunit ribosomal RNA", at positions 30 to 523 of the family's 1533-position model. The record is from RNAcentral.